GUACUGAAGGAUGUGAAGCUUAUGUUGCUGUCAGGCAAUAAAUUAUGCAACCUACUUCCAGCGUCAAAGACAGGUAGAGUUGAAAGUUCCAUUUGCAUGUACAUCAAAAUCAUAGUUCAGAAUCUCUGUAAAAGGCCCAAACCAGUUUCCCAUAACACCAGCCUCUAGACCAUACAUUUACUUAUAUUUGUUUUAUUAGACCUGCAUUGGCGAUGAUCUUGAACGCAGAAAAGAAAGGAUUAAUAACUUCUGGAAAGGUCAGUCUAUAUUUUUGUAGUAUGCAGAAGAUUGAUCAUCAACAUUUUAUUUAGUUCGUUAAACUUCGAUAGAGUAAUAUCUUUAUUGAGUAAGCUAUCCAUUGGGUCCUAAAAAAUUACUACUUUUGAUUGUGUUUGUUGUAUAGACACAUUUGAUUGAGCUUACAUCAGGAGGAGAGCCUUUGGCGCAAAUUUGAUCCUCACAUAUCCAACUAAGGUGAUGGGAGGAACAGUUAAAAAAAACCUUACAACCUCUUAAAACCACACCAAAUGCUUACAUGCUACAACAAUUUACACAAGUACCUACUUACUCCGUAUUUGUUCUCUCAUUUGCAUUAAAUUCAUAUUUGUUGCAUGUAAACAGUCUUCAAAAUGAUUCUGGAUUAAUUCUGCACUAGCACUAAAUCUGAUUUGGUUGGCUCCAUCACUAUAAUCACUAUCUGAAAGAACAUGUUGUCUGAUUGGUUUAUCUAACUAAUAUUAUUCAAUAAAACAACUACAUUUUGAGACUACAGGGCAUGAGAUAUCAGAGAACAUGGCUGCUUAGGCAUGGCUGGAGGUUGCCAAACAUGGAUUAAAAAGGAGCUGCAGGAUUAUAGAUGUAUUGUUUGACUGGCAAAAUUUCACAGCUGGGAUCUAAAGCAGUGAUUGUCUAUCAUUUUGCAGCAGCAGGGUAGGGGUUGGAGAGAGCAUCAGUCUGCAGCAAAGUUAGUAUUUAAAGGGUAUAAGACUAUAAGUUAAAAAUCUAUACAAGUUGUGUAGCUGUAA
This 1025-nucleotide long non-coding RNA is filed under the name Aquilegia coerulea. RNAcentral describes it as "long non-coding RNA (ACOE_LNC000474)". The record is from RNAcentral. Lineage: Eukaryota; Viridiplantae; Streptophyta; Magnoliopsida; Ranunculales; Ranunculaceae.